GUUUCAAUGAACAAUAAACUCCAAGACCAUUGUUGAAGAGAUCGAAGAAGACGAGCCAGCACUUAGACCGCCAGAAUAUAACCUUGUUCCUUUGAAUGAACUUGGCGUACACAUAGACACAGAUGCUGAAAUAGAUAUUUUGGCACUUGCAAUUCAUAUGAACCCGCCAAAUGAAGUGAAUACGAACCAUGGAAAAUCGUUGAUCCAAGAGAUAUACUUGAUUGAUCCAGGUCUAAAACUCCUGCGUUUAACAAUGUGGAAUCGCUUUGUUCAUGACGAAUGCCGCGAAAUUUCUGACCUUAUUCUGGCAAAGCCAAUUAU
Molecule: long non-coding RNA, 321 nt
Organism: Carya illinoinensis
Lineage: Eukaryota; Viridiplantae; Streptophyta; Magnoliopsida; Fagales; Juglandaceae
Exons: 3
Source: RefSeq, a predicted model, not a curated record